CUGAAAGUUGAGAUCAAAGGAUACAAUUUCAGUGAAAGUGUAGUGGAGAUGUCGGCCCGUGGAGGAGGCUACCUGGGAGACCAAGCGGGAGAUGCGAAGAAGAUAACUACACCUGUUUGAGGUUUCAGAUUCGGAGCAUUUGGAGGCCGAGUCGAGAGGCAAAGGCAUUGCGGGUUAGAUUUUGGACCAGUUUGAGAUCUAGGUGUUGCGGGUUGUGAUAGUGAGUGAUGAUCGUUGUUCCAGCAGGUCUUCGGAGUUGGCAAAGUAGCUGCUUGGCGUUCGCAGCCCUGCACUUCUCCUUCUUACCUUACUCAGACUGUCCCUAGUAUUUUAUUUCUGGACUAUGAUAUUUUUUCUUAUAGUUACACAGAUCUUGUAGUUGCCGGUGACUUGAGAUACCUCGAUGUCGGGCUUGUG
Long non-coding RNA from Nicotiana tabacum (common tobacco), 417 nucleotides. RefSeq lists it as uncharacterized. NCBI's taxonomy places the organism in Eukaryota, Viridiplantae, Streptophyta, Magnoliopsida, Solanales, Solanaceae. The record is from RefSeq and is a predicted model, not a curated record.